This is a long non-coding RNA of Armigeres subalbatus, 627 nucleotides long. RefSeq lists it as uncharacterized. The record is from RefSeq and is a predicted model, not a curated record. The transcript is spliced from 2 exons. Lineage: Eukaryota; Metazoa; Arthropoda; Insecta; Diptera; Culicidae.
GGGAAUUCUCCCGUACACACUUAAAUGCAUAAUUCCAGCUCGGUAAUCUUUUUUACUGGUUUCAUUCUGUAAAAAUAAUUUAAUACCGUGAGCUCAGUUAAAUGUUGAGAAACUACCGACAUCAGCAAUAUUGUUAACUGAUCCCUUUGUAAAAUGAAACGUCAAAAAUAAAUACUACCGAGCUCCUCGGUUUUCAACGAACUUUGUAUAUUUUUCACCGUAUUCUGUAAUUCAUCUUACCAGUGUCGUUAAACUUUGUACCGAGCUUUCAGUUAGCAUUAUUCUGACGUGAUACCUGAUGAAGUGAUAAGACGCCAUUUUUCCAUAGAACUUCACGUGUUGGAAUCAAAUGAAUGAGCAGAAACAAUUAUUUAUUGGAACAAAAUCAAGUGAAAUUGCGGUUGUAUGUGCAUUUCCUUCACGAAGAAAAUUGUCUCGAGAUGGAAUCUAUUCGUUCAAAGGGCGUUACGCCCUGCAGCGGAUUUCGUAUCAGUGCGUUUUCAAAGCGACGGUGUUUCCGGUGGAAAUUUUUCUAUGCUGAGCCCCUCUUAAAUAAAGUUUAUACAAAGAAAACAAAGUGCAUAUAUGAAUGAUUGAAGAAAAUAAAAGUAUUUCAUUUUAUUGGCA